UACAUUUUGCUAAAAUGAACUAAAUGAACGAAAUGACUCGAAAAAAGAUUCGUUCAUUUUGUUGAACGAGACUCAAAAGUCCGAGUCAGUAAAAUGAUCCGAACUUCCCAUCACUAGCGUCAGUCUCUGAGGACGACAGCGCCAGACUGCCGGAAGUGGGCGGAGUAAUAGUCUCACGUCAGACGUGGGCGGAGUUAGCGACAAACAAGCAAACAAUCAUGGCGGAAGAAGAGAAAACGGUAAAAAGUUUCUUUGUUUUGUGUUUUUAAUCGAUCACGUUUAUUUGUUGUGUAUUUAUUUGAUCGUUAACACUUAACAUGACUUAAAUAUUUUGAUAUUUUACCAAUCGUCUCACGCUGCUUGCGCCCCCGUGAGAAAAUACUAUAGUAAUUUGUAGUAAAUACUAGUGUUUUUGAACCAUACUAUAGUACUAUAAGUACUUGAAUUAAUUUAUUGUGGUAACUCUAUAGUUGCUGUGAUAAUAUAACAGCUAUAAUAAUAUAAACAAAUUACUUUACCCAAUAUUGUACUAAGUGUUCUACAAUUUUAUGGUAUAUUAUACUACAAUAUACACUACAGUUUACUGUAGUAAAAACUAAAGUAUACUACAUUAUUUAUAACAGUUUAUCAGUUCACUAUAGUUAAUACUAUAGUAUUCUGUAGCAUUCAUUAGUGUUGUAAAUACUAUAAUACAGUAUACAAAAAAUUACUACUGUAUGGUUCAAAAACACUAUAGUAUUCACUAUAGUAUUUUUUCACCUGGUCACAAGGUUUGUGAUUUUACUUGUUGUUGGUGCUGUAUUUUAUUUAACUGGUUACAUUUUACAAUACUGACCAAUGUUUUUGUGGAUUUUUAGAGGCAUAUUAGUAUUGGGAGAUGCUCCGCUUUACUUCAUUUACAGUUAUGCAAAACGCGCUGCAACAAUUUCCACCGCCCAGUGUUCUUAAACCGACCAGACGGCACAGGUUGAAUGCACAGCUUCAAAUUCACUUCAAAAAGGCUGUUGUCCAUGGAGUAAAUUGACAAGCAGAAUCACCCCAGGACAAUGGAAGCUGAUCAAAAACAAGGAGCCACGGAUCACAGAAGAUGUCUGCACUGCACAACAACCAAAGGUCUUCAAGGGUUUAGUGGAAGAGCUGUGCUUUCUGAUAUUGAAAGAGGAAGACCAGGAAAACACCCUUCUUCAACUUUCACAGGCUGAAAUGAAUGAUGACAGACAACUGGCCAAAGAGCCUUUAGUGUUUUGCUU
Megalobrama amblycephala (Wuchang bream) is the source of this 1250-nucleotide long non-coding RNA. RefSeq lists it as uncharacterized. The transcript is spliced from 3 exons. NCBI's taxonomy places the organism in Eukaryota, Metazoa, Chordata, Actinopteri, Cypriniformes, Xenocyprididae. The record is from RefSeq and is a predicted model, not a curated record.